RNAcentral lists this ribosomal RNA (679 nucleotides) under Ganoderma sp. 2 YD-2015. RNAcentral's name for it is "eukaryotic LSU rRNA". The stretch from base 242 to 395 matches the Rfam family "5.8S ribosomal RNA". The record is from RNAcentral. Lineage: Eukaryota; Fungi; Basidiomycota; Agaricomycetes; Polyporales; Polyporaceae.
UAACAAGGUUUCCGUAGGUGAACCUGCGGAAGGAUCAUUAUCGAGUUUUGACUGGGUUGUAGCUGGCCUUCCGAGGCAUGUGCACGCCCUGCUCAUCCACUCUACACCUGUGCACUUACUGUGGGCUUCAGAUCGUAAAACGGGUCCCUUUACCGGGCUUGCGGAGCGUGUCUGUGCCUGCGUUUAUCACAAACUCUAUAAAGUAUCAGAAUGUGUAUUGCGAUGUAACGCAUCUAUAUACAACUUUCAGCAACGGAUCUCUUGGCUCUCGCAUCGAUGAAGAACGCAGCGAAAUGCGAUAAGUAAUGUGAAUUGCAGAAUUCAGUGAAUCAUCGAAUCUUUGAACGCACCUUGCGCUCCUUGGUAUUCCGAGGAGCAUGCCUGUUUGAGUGUCAUGAAAUCUUCAACCUGCAAGCUUUUGUGGUUUGUAGGCUUGGACUUGGAGGCUUGUCGGCCGUUGUUGGUCGGCUCCUCUUAAAUGCAUUAGCUUGGUUCCUUGCGGAUCGGCUCUCAGUGUGAUAAUGUCUACGCUGCGACCGUGAAGCGUUUGGCGAGCUUCUAACCGUCUCAGUUGGAGACAACUUUAUGACCUCUGACCUCAAAUCAGGUAGGACUACCCGCUGAACUUAAGAACGUUNUUCUNNCCCCCCUUNCUUUGUCUCCCCCUUUUUUUUUUCUC